Molecule: long non-coding RNA, 906 nt
Organism: Herpailurus yagouaroundi (jaguarundi)
Lineage: Eukaryota; Metazoa; Chordata; Mammalia; Carnivora; Felidae
Exons: 4
Source: RefSeq, a predicted model, not a curated record
AGGGGCUGAUCCUCAAAUUAGUCUAUUAAAGUUACUGAUGACAGUCCUCAUCUCAGAGCCUCCGUUUUGGGGACCACAGCUUGCAACUUUGGAGGUCCUGCCAAGAUGACUCAACUCAUGAAAACCUACCAGAAUGAAGGGAGAACAGCCCCGAGUUGAGUAAUGCCUCACUAAGAAUGAUAUUGAAAACUUGGAGAGGGAGUUUGGAGCCAGAGUGUUGGAUGUCUCCGUGGUUUGGGCAAUUACAGUGAAUGUCACCAUCCUCGUUGCUCCUGUACGUUCCGGGAAAAGUCAUUUGGUGCCGGAAAGAAGUCAUAGGACUGGAGGAAAGCAAGCCGUUAUAGAGGCAGCACUUACCCCGAACAGUGAGAGUGACCCCAUCGAGCUCCUUCCCCGGAAACUACGCUCAACACCUCAGCAACAAGCCGCCAGAGCUUUGGACCGGUCCUUACCAGUGGUGUGGAUGGGACACGACGCAUGCAGGCUCAUCGCAGUGGCACAGAGCCAUGUGCCGUCAGGUUCAGAGCCAGCAUGGGGCAGAGUCGCCACAUGGAAAUGGCAAGGCCCCAGAGCUGGAGCCACCUAUAGCCUGGGAUUGAGCCUCCGCGGAGGGCUAUCAGCACUGGAGUCACGGGUAAGUCUAGUUAUCAUUUCCCUGAGGCUCAUUCAGGGGUCUUGAAUUCUGCCUUGAGUUUUAAAAACUAAUUGUUUUCCUCUCCUCCCUUUUCCUGUCGGGCAAAAGUGGGUGACUAUAGAGCCACUCAUUGACUGUUUCUGACAAGGGCCUGUCGCUGUAGCUGCACAACCCAACUAAAUCUAGAAUUGAAUUUGUAGAGUCUCAAUUUCCAGCGGAUUCUUCUUCCAUGGAGCAUUUCCCCCUAUCUGCUACCAGUAAACAGCCCCCCC